Molecule: non-coding RNA, 108 nt
Organism: Acanthosepion pharaonis
Lineage: Eukaryota; Metazoa; Mollusca; Cephalopoda; Sepiida; Sepiidae
Source: the annotation of a GenBank genome assembly
UACGACCAUAUCACGAUGAAAUGCCGGUUCCGGUGCGAUCAUCGAAGUUAAGCAGCUUCGAGCCUGGUCUAUAGUUAGAUAGAUGACCGCUUGGAAAUACCAGGUGAU